CCAGAUUGGUGCUUGUCAAGUAGGACUAGACUGGCCAAUUACUGAACUUCAGAAUUUCACCAGUCUCUACUUCCCAAGCUCUGGAAUUAAAGGCAUGCACACUACACCUGACUAUUAAAGUUGGCGAUCUUUCCCCAAGGGACUCUGAGAGUUCAGAAAAAAGGAGAAACAAUGAAGCAAGUGAUGGUCAGGCAUCUGGAAGUAUCCAUGGAGGUGAAAUCCGCACCUUACACUGAAACAAGCAGCUAGCUGACCUCCAGGCUUCUAGAGAGCAUCCUGUCCCGGCUUCCCAUCUCACAAUAGGAGUGGCGGGAUUACCGAUGCAUGCUACCCCACUCAGCUUUACAUUUGUUCCGGGAGUCUAAGCUCAGGUCCUCACACUUGGACAAGUUCUUUACCCAGAAAGCAAUGUCCCCGGGGCUACGGCCUCCGUUUUUUUGAAGUAGGAAGUGUUUGUAGCACACUUACCAGGCACCAGGCAUA
Molecule: long non-coding RNA, 483 nt
Organism: Mesocricetus auratus (golden hamster)
Lineage: Eukaryota; Metazoa; Chordata; Mammalia; Rodentia; Cricetidae
Exons: 3
Source: RefSeq, a predicted model, not a curated record